AGUCACUUCUCCACAAAGGCAGGUUAGGAGGUUACCAAAUGUUUGGGUAAAUAAUUAGACGUAUGCAUGUAAUAAGAAAGAAAGUUGUACUAACGUAGUUACUAGGUGUUAAAUAAAGCUUUAUCCUUUAUUUUUUAUUUUUUAAUAGUACCUAAAUUGUAUAAGUUGGAAACCAAAAAAUAAUCUGUAAGUAAAGAGAAAAAAUUUGU
Molecule: non-coding RNA, 209 nt
Organism: Schizosaccharomyces pombe (fission yeast)
Lineage: Eukaryota; Fungi; Ascomycota; Schizosaccharomycetes; Schizosaccharomycetales; Schizosaccharomycetaceae
Source: the annotation of a GenBank genome assembly